Non-coding RNA from Schistosoma rodhaini, 45 nucleotides. The record is from Rfam. NCBI's taxonomy places the organism in Eukaryota, Metazoa, Platyhelminthes, Trematoda, Strigeidida, Schistosomatidae.
AUUCAACUGACGAGUCCCAAAUGGGAUGAAACUCGGGUCCUGGGU